This 296-nucleotide long non-coding RNA is filed under the name Amphimedon queenslandica. RNAcentral describes it as "uncharacterized LOC109591689". Lineage: Eukaryota; Metazoa; Porifera; Demospongiae; Haplosclerida; Niphatidae. The record is from RNAcentral.
UUGCAAUGUCUAAAAGCCUGGACUAGCUUCACUAUGUCCUUUGUGAACAAGCCUGCUAAAAAGGAACAACAGUUUACAAAGUGAACCUAGUCAGUCUCUUGCUGAAUCAGUUGAUGAUCAUGAGUCUCAGUCUACUCUUGUGGUUGAUACAGCUACAGUUUUUACAGCUACAGUUGAUGUACAGUCAAUUGUUGCUCAUUCUCCAUCACCCUAUUCUUCUACUUCCUCUACUAAUACUACUACUACUAGUACUAUUACCACUACAGAAGUCAGUGUUGGAGCUACACCACCCACUA